GGGUUGGCGAACUGCGCACACACCGGCUUUGUGAUUGAUGUCUGCUAUAAAAGACAGCUAGGACGCCACGGUAGUAGGUUCGUGUGCAUAGUCGUCCGUAUCCGGUUGCGUCGUGCACCCCUGGCUCGGUACCAUUUCAGGGUCCAGGUAACUCAUUGCCACACGAGUGGAACACCCUACAAGGAUAGAAGACGGGUGUAUCACAGGAGGGUUUGGGGUCAUUUUCUGCCUCCUGUCUCUUGCUGAAAAGGAUACUGAGUUUAGCAGCUACCAGCGGUUGGCGUGAAGGCCCCACAGUGGCGACAGCAGACAGGAUUGGGUGUGGUGUGGGGUGGCCCAUCACCGCUUCGUUUGUAUUGGUUUUACCUUUUAUUAAUUAUGCAUAGUGGAACAUAGGUUGCUGUGGCUUUUCUUAAGAUUAAUUUAUUGAUUUGAUUGCAUGUUGUUUUUUAACGAAGCAGCUUGGGCCCGCUCGGUAGUCCCCCUCCACCCUGAUAGC
Molecule: long non-coding RNA, 499 nt
Organism: Melanotaenia boesemani (Boeseman's rainbowfish)
Lineage: Eukaryota; Metazoa; Chordata; Actinopteri; Atheriniformes; Melanotaeniidae
Exons: 4
Source: RefSeq, a predicted model, not a curated record